Molecule: long non-coding RNA, 376 nt
Organism: Leucoraja erinaceus (little skate)
Lineage: Eukaryota; Metazoa; Chordata; Chondrichthyes; Rajiformes; Rajidae
Exons: 2
Source: RefSeq, a predicted model, not a curated record
GACCGGGACCGGGCGGCCGCUCUGUCGGGGGUCAGGUCGGGUCAGGCCGGGCCGGGAGAGCGUCGACUUCAGCCGCUGACCGACUGCAACGUUUGUUUUCCUUCCCCUCCCCUCCCCGCUGCCGAGAGACGCCGCUACCGACUCUCCAACACCGUUACCAGAUCUAAAUUUCGGGAGACUUCGGGAGAGGAAUGGAGAGCAGGGGAGAGACAAGACUUUGCCUUCCAUCACAGUGAGGAGGAGACGCGCUGUGAUGGAUGUUUGUGUAAAUUGUGUUGGUGUGUGUCUUGGUUCUUUUCUUGUAGGCCUGCAGAAACCAAAUUUCGUUUGAACCUCAUGUGAGGUUCAAAUGACAAAUAAACGGUAUUGUAUUGUA